GACGAACGCUGGCGGCGUGCUUAACACAUGCAAGUCGAACGGAAAGGCCCUGCUCUUGUGGGGUGCUCGAGUGGCGAACGGGUGUGUAACACGUGAGUAACCUGCCCUUGACUUUGGGAUAACUUUAGGAAACUGGGGCUCAUAUCGGAUAGGAGAUCCUGCUGCAUGGUGGGGGUUGGAAAGUUUCGGCGGUUGGGGAUGGUCUCGCUGCUUAUCAGCUUGAUGGUGGGGUAGUGGCUUUCCAAGGCUUUGACGGGUAGGCGGCCUGAGAGGGUGACCGGCGACAUUGGGACUGCGAGACGGACCAGACUCCUACGGGCGGCAGCGGGAGGGAAUAUUGCGCAAUGGGCGGGAGCCAGAUGCAGCGACGCCGCGUGCGGGAUGACGGCCUUCGGGUGGUAAACCAAUUUCGCAGGUGACAAAGCGGGAGUGACGGUAAUGGGUAAGGAAGCAACGGCUAACUACGUG
This 468-nucleotide ribosomal RNA is filed under the name uncultured bacterium. Its description in RNAcentral is "partial 16S ribosomal RNA". It matches the Rfam family "Bacterial small subunit ribosomal RNA", at positions 28 to 507 of the family's 1533-position model. The record is from RNAcentral.